This 77-nucleotide transfer RNA is filed under the name Candidatus Dojkabacteria bacterium. Its description in RNAcentral is "tRNA-Ile". It matches the Rfam family "tRNA". Rfam says of the family: Transfer RNA (tRNA) molecules are approximately 80 nucleotides in length. Their secondary structure includes four short double-helical elements and three loops (D, anti-codon, and T loops). The record is from RNAcentral.
GCUCCUGUAGCUCAGUUGGUUAGAGCACGGUUCUUAUAAAGCCGGGGUCAGUGGUUCGAGUCCACUCAGGAGUACCA